AGGGAAUCUUCCGCAAUGGACGAAAGUCUGACGGAGCAACGCCGCGUGAGUGAAGAAGGCCUUCGGGUCGUAAAGCUCUGUUGUUAGGGAAGAACAAGUAUCGGAGUAACUGCCGGUACCUUGACGGUACCUAACCAGAAAGCCACGGCUAACUACGUGCCAGCAGCCGCGGUAAUACGUAGGUGGCAAGCGUUGUCCGGAAUUAUUGGGCGUAAAGCGCGCGCAGGCGGUCCUUGAAGUCUGGUGUGAAAGCCCACGGCUCAACCGUGGAGGGUCAUUGGAAACUGGGGGACUUGAGUGCAGAAGAGGAAAGCGGAAUUCCACGUGUAGCGGUGAAAUGCGUAGAGAUGUGGAGGAACACCAGUGGCGAAGGCGGCUUUCUGGUCUGUAACUGACGCUGAGGCGCGAAAGCGUGGGGAGCAAAC
RNAcentral lists this ribosomal RNA (425 nucleotides) under uncultured bacterium. RNAcentral's name for it is "bacterial SSU rRNA". It matches the Rfam family "Bacterial small subunit ribosomal RNA", at positions 356 to 773 of the family's 1533-position model. The record is from RNAcentral.